Molecule: ribosomal RNA, 232 nt
Filed under: uncultured bacterium
Lineage: Bacteria
Description: partial 16S ribosomal RNA
Rfam family: Bacterial small subunit ribosomal RNA
Source: RNAcentral
GACGAACGCUGGCGGCGUGCUUAACACAUGCAAGUCGAGCGGUAAGGCCCUUUCGGGGGUACGACGAGCGGCGAACGGGUGAGUAACACGUGGGUGGCCUGCCCUCAGCUCUGGGAUAAGCCUGGGAAACUGGGUCUAAUACCGGAUAUGACUCCAUGACGCAUGUUGUGGGGUGGAAAGCCUUGUGCGGCUGAGGAUGGGCCCGCGGCCUAUCAGCUUGUUGGGGGGUGAU